Pseudopipra pipra is the source of this 2080-nucleotide long non-coding RNA. RefSeq lists it as uncharacterized. Lineage: Eukaryota; Metazoa; Chordata; Aves; Passeriformes; Pipridae. The record is from RefSeq and is a predicted model, not a curated record. The transcript has 2 exons.
CUGCACUGAGCUCCAAAUGAUGUUCAGUUUGGGCAGAACAGGGACAGUUUCCUCUCACCAAAAUUUGUAUGAGAGUGUAUUUUUGAUAACAAAUGAAAAAUCCUUCCAUUAAACAGAAAAGCCCCUUUUAUUUAGCUUUAAAAAGAAUUUGAACUAUUGAUAGGUAAGAAAAAAUUAAUCUGGACAUCUUUUCUGAUUUAUUGUGUUUAAAAUAUAAAUGCAGAGGAUGUUUCUGGAAACUAUCUUCCAUUGGAGAAAAACUGAAGUCUUACAGGGCUAUGUAAUAAAGCAGAAAUAUUUAAAGCAAAGAGCAAAAAAACCCACAAUGUUUCUGAAAGAGUUUUGGAAGGAAACAUGGAAAGCAUAAAUUGGUAAAUGUAGAAAUCCUCUCCUGCCUUUCAAUUCUCAAAAUCUAGAGCAGGGAGACUUUGGAUAUCAGCGACUCUUUGCUUUAUAGAAAUGAUAAAGCCACACCUUAUCCACACUGUGCCCUCAUAAUGUGUAUCAAUUCACAUUAGAGAAGCAUACAGACUUUAAAAAAUGCAUUUUGUCUUUUCUUUCUUCUCCUCCUUCCCAAAGACAGAUCAAUUGCUUUGUCUGCUUUGCACAAGUGUGAGGACACCAAGACACGGAGAUGGGAGUGGUCUUGCCCAAGGUCAUACUGCAAACAAAUUGUCAUGGCAAGAGUCACUCAUCAGUUGCUGUGAGGAACAGCAGAGGAAAAUGUGGUCCAGCCUCAUAUGUUCCACUGUCAUCAUGGCACUGUGUUUCAGAUCCACUCUGUGUGCAGAUCACAGUGGACAAUGGAGGCAAAGGAGGAGAAAUGAAGAUGACUGAAGGACAAGUGAUAUGUUACCCUGUUCUUUCUUGGCAAGGCUGCAAAAUACCACCUUUGAGGAAGACUCUUUCUCAUUCCUGAAACCACUUGGGUUUAAUUUGUUUCCCUUCUAGUAAUUCCUGGCUCCAGCUUCCUUAUAACUCUCAACAACUGCUCCUACAACCUGGCUGCAAAUGUAGCAUCUCAGUUCCCCAGCAUCCUGCCUGGCUGCAGUACAGAGAGAGGCAAAAAAAGAGUGCUGGAUAGAAUGCAACUGCUUUUCUGUCUUUCCUGAGAAAAUUAUUUUUUUAAAGAUACUUUCAUAUCAAAACCUAAAUGGUUGGGUGUCUUUCCUAACUGAAUAAGAGUCAAUCCUCUAAAAAGACAACUGCUCACCUAACUGUAGACAAUUACCUCAGCUGCAUGGGAUGAACCUGGGCCAGAGGCUUUUAACAGGCGAUGGCUGGAAAUGGGCAACUUUUGGGUCCUGGAGGUAUCUGCAUCUCUUAGGGUCCCAGCAAGCCUUCCUGAUCCAAACCCCAGUGUGGGGCCUUCUUGAAACCACCCUCCUCGUGAGAGGAUCCUGGCCACUGGUGAGACUACAUGGGUGGUGCACCAGUGUCUAAGGAGGGGAAGAGCAGCGCCUGCCCCAUUUGAGAGUCCCAGUGCAGUGCCAGUGGGCAGGUGGCAAGUACCUGAGCUGGAGGGAAGCCAAGAUACCAGGGUUAACAACCCUGAUCUUGCGGAAAAAAAAGCCUUGGGAUCUUUAAUGACCACAAAUGGCUAAGACUUUUGCUUUAUAUCUCUUUUUUUUUCUGCAGAGCAAUUAUGCACAUUUUAGCUGGGGAGCUUUUAUUCUCAUGCAGACGGGAUAGAUAGCACAGUGUCCUCUCCCAAGCACAUUCAGACAUAGUCAGUCCAAGUGCCCAGAACAACAUGAGACAUGUUUGACCUUCACAACUUUCCUUUACAGACCAGGAAGCUAAAACCCUGAAGGAAUUUUCCUGAGUGAGUUUGUCCAAAGCAACAUUCACCACCUCAUUCAAUAUUUGCCUGCAAAAAAAAUGCCAAUUAUUAAGAGACAGUCCUGGCUGGGCAUCAAUAGGCAGCCAGGUGUGAGAAGUUGAAGAGAAAUACAUCUCAUUAAUGUGGAAUUGUUUUUAGGUUAAUAAUCUUGCGUUAAUUUUCCUUUAAAAUAUUGUCUUUGACCGUUAAACGCUCGCACUGUUAUAAAAAGAACGUAAUAAAUGAUCUUGAAGCAAA